UGUCAAAUUUAGUAAAGAAAAUUCAAAGAGGCUUGAUGCAUUUGCGUUUUCUGUCUGUAGUGUGUCUUGAUUCAAGCCAGUAAUUAUUAAAGACAAAGAAAUGAUUUAUAUUUAUUUUUGGACCUAUUUUUUGAUAAUGUGUACUGUGGACUAUACUGUUUAUAUGCUAUACAAGAAUUAGGUAUAUUGUUACUGGGAUUAUGGUAAAGAAAUUGCAUUGUCCUCAUUUUGGCCAGCUUGGAGAAAGCCAGAUAUGUUUAUUCUCAUUUAGUGGUAAAUAGUUACACAACUAUGUGAUCAGCAUCUUCCUCUGAUGUGCUCUUUCCAUGUUUCAGACAUGAGUUCAUAAAGGUAAGACCUGCAGAAAUAGUGUUAAAAGUAGGUUUAACACUCAAGUCUGUCAAAGAUUUCUUUCUUCUUUCCUAGUUUUGCAACACAUGCCUGGCCACUAACUUUCUGUCAACUGUGGGAUUACAGUUGCUGAAUUGUCAUGGCUCUGUCUUGGUUCUUUUUGCUUGAAAGAAACCUGUUGAAUGUAAGUAAGUAGUCAUGAAAAUCCAGGUUUGCGUAUCUGUUGAGCUACUGAUUUUGAUUUUUUUUUUAAAUCUGCCAGGUGUAAUGGGCUCGUUCUUCUCCAGAGACUGGCAGUGACUGGACUGAUGGAUGGUCAUGAGGAACCACUGAGGGCAGACAGACAGACAGUCACUGAAGUAUAAAGAUCCAUGGACAUGAAAAGAGACCUUUAUGUCCAGAGAGGUGGUUGUACCAACUUCUGCCCCUCUGAAUAUGUGCACUAGUGACUUCUGCACGCUUUGUCGUGGGAUGGUGACCCUGCAUCCUGUGGGAACACCCUGAUGGAAGGACCCUCCGUAACAACAGGGAAAUUAGUGACCACACUUCAUGUAAGCAUGAAGAAGUGAAGUCUGGCUCAGAACUAAGCUAAGCACAAGGGUAAGUGCACACUUUGGGUUAAUGAUGUGUUUAAAGCUGUUGGUGCUCUGAACCCAUCCUUAAGGUCUCCCAUAAUGAAGUAGUUAAUAAAGAAUGGCCACAUAUCAUCAGAGGAAACAGACCAAUACUGCAAAAUUUUGUUUUUUCAGUACUGAUCCUUUAAAAUCUGGGGUUUUUUUAGUAACUGUUAAGGAACAUGCAUUUUGAAAUAUGUUUUUUGAUUUUGAAACUAUUGAUUUGGUUUUGCUCAAGUGUAAACAGCAGUAACGAAAAAAUAAUAGGAAAGAUUUUUUACCUGACAAAAUUUCAGCUGGGAAAGGUGGACAGACAAUUGAAAGAAACUAAAAAUAACUUCUCCUCAUGAUGACCUUAAUAUAAACAAUAGGUUACUGACUUUUAAUAAAGCAUUUUAUUCACAUGUACUCUGAGUGCUCCCGAGACGUUGAUUUAAAGCAACUGUACAAGAAAAAUGAAGUUACACUUUUUGUAUGGAUGUUAAGAAUAACACUGCUCCAACUCCAUAAAGCAUUUAAAGUUGUGCUUAUGUUUCAAUUAAGUUAAUGGAUUAUGCUUAAGUGUCCUUUGAAGUAGGUUUUAUUGCUCUCUCUUACAUCUGUGAAUACUGAAGUAGUGAUAUCAAAUUGCUUACUCAGGGCCAAAUAAAUCUCUGACAAACCAGGACCCAGUCUUUGGAAAUCCCAUCUAAACCACUUUUCACAAACUAGUUUCUAGUUCAUCGGUUUAUUUCUCUCAAUAUAUAUACGUAUUUCUUUAUGUGUAAGUAUAGAUACUUGCAUAAACAAUGAGAAAAAAUGGUAAUAUACCUCAAAUACAUUUUGCUUGAAGAGCAGUUUAAUAUAGUGACAUGAUUCCACUACUUCAUAUUGAGAAACUGGUCACAUAAAACCACCAACUUUCACAACUUAAUUUCCCUUUUCUAAUUGUUAAGGGGAGAAAAAAAGCUCAAAAUCCCUUACUGAGGUUCCGGUUUGUGAGGAAAAUGUUAUUCGUUUCAUAAUAAGAAGUUAAGAUAUCUGGAUGUCAAGAAUAUCAGUGGCCUUAGUGCAGCGAUUAUGCCAUAAUGGCAAAACCCAGUAGGUGCCUGGAUCUCCCACCAUCCCUCUACUGGAGAGCUCUUGGGCAACCUGCUACGCUUUCAGGUGCAUUUAAUAUUUGCAGCACCAGCAAAUUUGUCUGGGAGGCAAGUCCUCAUCUGCCACUCACCAAAAGCAGGCUGUAUUAAAUUUUUAUAUUUAUUGACAUUUCAUUACCAUAAUUGACUGCAGUUGGUUCUCUAGUAGAAGGCACAGGGCUGCCUUCUAAGCAGGAGAAUUGGUCCCUUGAGUAGGAUUUGCAAUUAAAAACAACGCAGAAUGGAUCUUUUUUUUAUUGUGUAAAUAUGAUGAGUUGAAUUUUCAGCUUUAACUAGAGAAUACUGGGUGUGCAGAAGGCUUUUUUCAAGAGUGAGCAAAAUUAUGAGUCAGUGGAAAGACGACCCCCAAAGGUGUCAAUCAGUUUAUACAAAAUCAACUGUGCAUGAAAAAGCCUCUGUUAAUGUCUGUUCUGAAAAAGUGGCCACGUUAAAGAGUAUGCUGUCCUGCUUGCUUGGUUCCGUGUGCAGAAAUUGAUACUGAAAGGUGUAUUAAUUCUUUUACCUUCUAAUUCGUUAUUAAAAAUGCUUUUGAAAGACAAAGAUUGGAACAGCCUGAACCUUAAGCAAAAUGCUUCAUUGCAUAUGGAAGCCUUAGCAUUUACUCUGUAUUGUACUGUUAAUUUCAUUUGGUAAAAUAAAACCCGCAACUGAAAUAAAUUAUUCUUGCUUCCAGAUUAAUAAUAUUACAUUUCACAGUUGAUUUUGAUGUUGAAGGUGGAAGGUUGACUGGCAUUUUUGAAAACAGAAGCUUUGGUGAUGCUUCAGUGUUACCUAAUUCAGAAGUAAAAUGGUUGGUAUAAGGUUACAGCUACACAGAUGAAUAGAUAUGUGAAUUCCUCAUGUACUGGUACACAGUGUUAUCUUGCAUAAUGAAUACGGUAACUAUGAAGAAGUAAUGGUAGAAGCUGAGCUGGGUUAGCUUGGUGCCAAAGUAAUGCAGAUAGAACAACAUUGAAUAGUUUACACUGCUGCCUGUUCUUGCCAUUCUUAACCUGGCUUUUUUAAGGUUAGUAUGGACAUCGCCAUGUAUGUUACACUGCAGGCAGUGCCUAAAUAUAAAGUUAGAUACUUGAAAUCUCUGCUGCCACCUAAUUUUGUGCUUAGAGUCCUCACAGCUCCAUCUUCCACCAGCCCUUUGGGUGCCAAACUGCCUCUGGGCAUGGCUGGGACUACCCAAGUCAUGACAGUGGUAAGUAACUGUGUCCAGCUCGUGCUACAGCUCUUCUCAGAUAUAGGGACUGUGUGGCUUUCAUCUACCUAAUACAGCAAAAAUACCAAAGGUGGGAUUUGGUAGCAGGCCAGUGGCUGGAGCAAUUAACAAAUGGGAAAUCUGGGGUAAAAUCUUCGGUCCAAAGAGUGCAUGAAAUAAAUAAGGCUAUGGCCUGGCAAUUGAGGCGUCUUUCUGAAGUGAGAAAUAUCAAGUUUCUUUGGGUAAAUCUGGCACAUCUUGUGGAUAUCUUCUGAUCAUGAGUAUUGGGCAGAAGGAGGGUGGACCUUAGCUUGGUUUGGAGAGAACAGAUUUGCUUAGUGCUUAACUCUACGAACAAACUUCCAGCUGGGAAUCCCAACUAGAAAAAAAUGACGUAAGUCCUUUGGACAGGGAGCAUUUGUGUCAUACGUCUCUCCUCAGUGUUUCUCAAGGCUGCUUCUUAGAGCAGCACCCAGCUCGCUGCUGGCCGCCUCUGCUCCCUGUGUUGCAGGGGCAAGGGCUGGGCGGCUGCAGCUGCAGGCUCUGCGAGAGGGCAGCGCAGUACAGGGGCACUACCAGCAAAGAAAAGAAAUCAAAAACCUGAUAGUAUUUGUAAGAGAGUCGUAACUUAAAUGGGACUGCAGAAAGACAUGGCAAUACUGAGUAUUUUUUCUAAAUCCUUCUCUUGAUAUGGCUGAAAGUUACUUAAAAGUCAAAAUCCCUUCAUUCAGUAUCAGUGAAAGCAAGUUAGGCCAAUGCUGAAUGUUUAUGAAAAUUCUACCUUAAAACAAUACAUAAUAGUAAACUACUUGGAGUUCAGCAGCAUUUAGAUAUUCAGCUAUCAAUCUCUUAUCUGAUAGAGAGGUAAGAGAUAGAAGUGACUAAUUCUGCAGGUUUUUUCAGAGGUUUCAUUUAACAGUGAGAUAUUGUUCAAGACACAACAGCAUACAAACCUUUUUUACAACGUGAAACUACACCCUGGGCUAAAUAAAUGGUGAGGCUGUAGGCCAGAAAUGCAGGGAGCACUUGUGCUUUUUUGUUUGGCAAAUGUUUUAGAUGGUAAUGAAUGAUUCUUGAGUCCAAAUCUCUGGUUUCACUGAGCUCAGAUGGAAACUUCUGGUGGAGUCAGGUGGUGGCCUCUGGUAUCGACCCUCUUUUCCCACAAAACAGAGUAUAGCAUUUGAUGGUGGAAUCAGGUUCCUUCCUUCUUCUAAAAUUAAAUUGAGUUUGAUUUCUAGGCUAUGACAAUGGAGUCAACUGACGUGUGGAAAUGCUGUGUGAAACUGUACCAUCCACCUUCAACGCUUCAGCAAGCUUGCAACCGUCUCCAGAACACUGGAUUAGAGCGAUUUUACUUGUUGAUGGCUCUUACCAAGUACCAACCCUCACUGAAUGACAUUCCUUUCAGCCAGGACAGGAGCUGUGCAAAUUAGGAAUGAAGCCCCUGUUGUGGCUGUAAACAGUAUCUGUCUAAUGAGCAAAUAUUCUAGUAAAUUUGAUCACUAUGUGUUUGGGGCACAAAGGUGAAGGAGGCAGUGGGUGCCUGUGUGCAGCAAAGGGUCUAUCCCACUGCUCCUGCCCUGCUCUGUGCAGCCCUGGUAGCACCCUGCCUGCUGCUGGGGGACACUGCUCCCCCACCGCUCCCUCCUCCCUUCCAAACUGCACCAAAAGGCCAGAGAGUGGCCCAUGGCAGUCUGCCCUGGGUUCUGAAGUCCUGAGCCUGUGAGUUGGCUCUGGUGUGUGGCUGUGUGGGUGGAUGAGCCUCUCUCAGAAGGGUGCAUUCAGCAUAGCGUAUAGCAAGCAAGCUAAUUUACUGUCACAACCAUAAUUACUCUUCCACUGCUUCCUGAAAUAUAUGUGUCAGUGGGAACUACAAUGGUUAUUAAACUAAUUCUGAGCUUUUAAUAUAAUUAAUACUUUCAUUAAAAACAUUUAAAGAAGUAUUGGUGUUAUGUUUCUAAGCAAGUGAACAUGGAAAAACACUUUGAAGAGGCACCUAAGAACAAAAUUGAGGAGGACUCAGCAUGGACAAAACCAGCAGAUAUGCUUAUAUCAGGCAGAAACCACUAGAGUGAGGAACUGUACAAGCCUGGAUACAAGCGAACAAGUACUACACUGAACAGCGAAGUAAUCAUUGCUUGACCUCAUUUGUAUCCACCUUGAAUCAAAUCCUGUGUUUGUUUGCCUGUGUAAGGUCUUCUAGAUUUGCCCCCAAAUGCCAA
Molecule: long non-coding RNA, 5515 nt
Organism: Columba livia (rock pigeon)
Lineage: Eukaryota; Metazoa; Chordata; Aves; Columbiformes; Columbidae
Exons: 4
Source: RefSeq, a predicted model, not a curated record